AAGUCGUAACAAGGUUUCCGUAGGUGAACCUGCGGAAGGAUCAUUAUUGAAUAAACCUGAUGUAGUUGUGCUGGCUCUCUUGAGAGUAUGUGCACGCUCGUCAUCUUUAUAUUUCCACCUGUGCACCUUUUGUAGACCCAGGCGACUUGAGCAAUCAUGUCAAUUGGGCCUAUGUCUUAUCAUAUACCCCAUAGUAUGUCUUUGAAUGGAUCAAUGGGUGUUAAGCCUAUAAACAUUAUACAACUUUCAGCAACGGAUCUCUUGGCUCUC
RNAcentral lists this unclassified non-coding RNA (270 nucleotides) under air metagenome. RNAcentral's name for it is "partial contains small subunit ribosomal RNA, internal transcribed spacer 1, and 5.8S ribosomal RNA". The stretch from base 1 to 46 matches the Rfam family "Eukaryotic small subunit ribosomal RNA", at positions 1786 to 1831 of the family's 1831-position model. The record is from RNAcentral.